Molecule: ribosomal RNA, 500 nt
Filed under: uncultured bacterium
Lineage: Bacteria
Description: bacterial SSU rRNA
Rfam family: Bacterial small subunit ribosomal RNA
Source: RNAcentral
AACUAACGCUGGCGGCGUGCCUAACACAUGCAAGUCGUACGAGAAAGCCGGCUUCGGCUGGUGAGUAAAGUGGCGCACGGGUGAGUAACGCGUGGAUAAUCUGCCCUUAAGUGUGGAAUAACGUACCGAAAGGUGCGCUAAUACCGCAUAAUGCCUGGCAACACAAGUUGUCCGGCCAAAGAAGGCCUCUGUUUACAAGCUUUCGCUUCAGGAUGAGUCCGCGUACCAUUAGCUUGUUGGUGGGGUAAUGGCCUACCAAGGCUGCGAUGGUUAGCUGGUCUGAGAGGAUGAUCAGCCACACUGGAACUGAGACACGGUCCAGACUCCUACGGGAGGCAGCAGUGGGGAAUAUUGCACAAUGGGCGAAAGCCUGAUGCAGCAACGCCGCGUGAGUGAUGAAGGCCUUCGGGUCGUAAGGUACUCUUUGUAUCAGGGAGUGAUAAUAGUACAGUAACCUAGAAAAACAAACGACCAACCGGACCGUAACUACGUACGCCACG